GAUGAACGCUGGCGGCGUGCCUAACACAUGCAAGUCGAACGAAACACCUUAUUUGAUUUUCUUCGGAACUGAAGAUGUGGUGAUUGAGUGGCGGACGGGUGAGUAACGCGUGGGUAACGUGCGCUGUACAGGGGGAUAACAGUCAGAAAUGACUGCUAAUCCCGCAUAAGACCCCAGCACCGCAUGGUGCAGGGGUGAAAACUCCGGUGGUACAGGAUGGACCUGCGUCGGAUUAGCUGGUUGGAGCGGUGACGGCUUACGAAGGCGAGGAUCGGUAGCCGGCUAGUGAGAGUGGGCGGCGACAUUGGGAGGAAGACACGGCGCGGACUACUACGGGAGGCAGCAGAGGGUGAUAUUGCAAAAUGGGGUAAGCGAUGAAGCAGCGACGCCGGGAGAGUGAAGAUGUAUUGCGAUAUGAAAAGCUCUAUCAGCAGGGGAUGAAAUGACGGUACCUGAAGAAGAAGCCCCGGCUAACUACGUG
RNAcentral lists this ribosomal RNA (481 nucleotides) under uncultured bacterium. RNAcentral describes it as "partial 16S ribosomal RNA". It matches the Rfam family "Bacterial small subunit ribosomal RNA", at positions 28 to 507 of the family's 1533-position model. The record is from RNAcentral.